Molecule: long non-coding RNA, 338 nt
Filed under: Pan troglodytes (chimpanzee)
Lineage: Eukaryota; Metazoa; Chordata; Mammalia; Primates; Hominidae
Description: long non-coding RNA NONPTRT008878
Source: RNAcentral
UAUUUUAGCACCUUUUCUUCUAAAUGUUACAUGUUCUCUCAUUUUAAAAACACCAUCCCUGAGACUGCAUAAAUAGAAAAGAAACAGGAAUACAGAGGAUAGAUUACUUGCCAGACUGAACCACUGCUCCUAGGAGAAACGUGUAUAUAUACAAUCUCACGUUCAUCAUCAUCUUAAAUCCUAAAAAGAACUCAUCCUGGCAGAUUCUAUCUUCAUUAUUUUGUAAGAAAAGUGGUUCAGAAAUGUUAAGUGACUGGACUGAGGCUGCCCCACUGACAGGGAUUCAAACUCCCCAACUGGCCCCAGAGCCACAGCUCCUUGCACUACAUGGCACCGGC